Molecule: non-coding RNA, 307 nt
Organism: Branchiostoma floridae (Florida lancelet)
Lineage: Eukaryota; Metazoa; Chordata; Leptocardii; Amphioxiformes; Branchiostomatidae
Source: Rfam
GCCAUGUGCCGUCAGCAGCGCGUCGUUUGUGGCACUCCACUACUACAUGUACUUCCUGGAGGCUGGGUGGUGGAGCGCUUGAGGCCGGCGCGCUGUGCUAUGACGAUUGGGCGACUCGCUAAGUUCGGCACCGAUAUGGUUACCCAGGAGCCCAGGACUAACAGGUUGUUCUGUUUCAAGAGGGACACACCGACCCAGGUUGGAAACAACGCAGGUAAAAGUCCCCGUGUCGAUCCGAGGGGCAGGGUCGCGCCCGUGAAUAGGCAAUGCGUCUCAGCCUGACCAGCAUAGUGGGACCCAACUUUUU